UACGUAGGCAGCAAGCGUUGUUCGGAGUUACUGGGCGUAAAGGGUGUGUAGGCGGUCUUCUAAGUUUGGUGUGAAAUCUCCCGGCUCAACUGGGAGGGUGCGCCGAAAACUGGGAGGCUAGAGUGCGGGAUGGGAGAGUGGAAUUCCCAGUGUAGAGGUGAAAUUCGUAGAUAUUGGGAAGAACACCGAUGGCGAAGGCAGCCAUCUGGACCGACACUGACGCUGAGGCGCGAAAGCGUGGGGAGCAAACAGG
Molecule: ribosomal RNA, 253 nt
Filed under: uncultured bacterium
Lineage: Bacteria
Description: partial 16S ribosomal RNA
Rfam family: Bacterial small subunit ribosomal RNA
Source: RNAcentral